GUGGGGAAUCUUGCGCAAUGCGCGAAAGCGUGACGCAGCAACGCCGCGUGGGGGAAGACGGCCUUCGGGUUGUAAACCCCUUUCAGGAGGGACGAAGGUUCGCCGGUUAAUAGCCGUGCGGAUUGACGGUACCUCCAGAAGAAGCUCCGGCUAACUACGUGCCAGCAGCCGCGGUAAUACGUAGGGGGCAAGCGUUGUCCGGAAUCAUUGGGCGUAAAGCGCGCGUAGGCGGCCCUGUAAGUCCGCUGUGAAAGUCAAAGGCUCAACCUUUGAAAGCCAGUGGAUACUGCAGGGCUAGAGUCCGGAAGAGGCGAGUGGAAUUCCUGGUGUAGCGGUGGAAUGCGCAGAUAUCAGGAGGAACACCGAUAGCGAAGGCAGCUCGCUGGGACGGUACUGACGCUAAGGCGCGAAAGCGUGGGGAGCGAACAGG
This 430-nucleotide ribosomal RNA is filed under the name uncultured bacterium. RNAcentral's name for it is "bacterial SSU rRNA". It matches the Rfam family "Bacterial small subunit ribosomal RNA", at positions 354 to 776 of the family's 1533-position model. The record is from RNAcentral.